Molecule: long non-coding RNA, 829 nt
Organism: Capsicum annuum
Lineage: Eukaryota; Viridiplantae; Streptophyta; Magnoliopsida; Solanales; Solanaceae
Exons: 3
Source: RefSeq, a predicted model, not a curated record
GAAACGGCAACAACAUGCAUAUCAAAACACAAGAUUAUUGAAGAUAUGUCAUCAACUUUUUUUUCUUAAUUUUUUCUUAAAAUUACAUAUAAUCUCCUUGAUUUUACAUUGAAGAAACAACAACCUUGGCAAUGUCAUAAUACACAAUUCUUCAAAAGAUCUUCAACUUUUUUCUCCUUAUUUUGAGCUCAAAAUCAAUCUAAUAUCACAGAAUAUCAUCCUUGAUUUUUCUUUGAAAAAUCGUUUUGGCAGAUUUGUCACCACAGAAAAUCAGUUUAUGAUAUUUAUUGAAGAUUUGAGGGUUUCAAGUUACCAAUUGCUUGUUGUUUCAGAUGGAUGAAGAAACCCCUAAUAGGAGAUUGACAAGAGGGAUUGUGGAGUAUAUGUUAUUGCAUAUGCAGAGUAUAUUAGCCAUGAAAAAAGUGUACCACCAGGAGUGUUUGAUGUUGAAGCUUUAUGCACUUGGUAUGCUGCCCUUUUAUGACAUCACGGGACUCAGAAGAUUAAGAAAAAUGUCGUGAGUGCUGAUGAGAGUUCGAAUAGGCAAAUGAGACCACAGUUUAGUUGUGAUAAUACAAAAGUGAUUGUUAUUCCAUAGACAGUUUAAUUGUUAUUAUUAGAAUAACUUAUCAAUUUUUUUUUGGUAUAGCAACCUGUUUUAUAAUCCAGCUUUUGAUAUAGCAAGUUGAUUUAGAAUUUAAUUAUGGUAUAGGAAGGUAUUUUUGAAGUUGGUUUAUUGUAACAGUUAUGUGACUUGGGUAAUUUUUUUUGAAACAUCAUAGUAUUUAUAUGAAGUUGUUUUGAUAUAUAUACAAAUUUUCAACUAACA